AUGAGAUUUCUUUAAAGGGCCCCCGAAGACGACGGGGUCGAUAGGCCGCAGGUGCAGGGGCAGCAAUGUCCGCAGCCGAGCGGUACUAAUAGCCCGUAAGCUUAUGUAC
RNAcentral lists this ribosomal RNA (109 nucleotides) under Aequorivita lutea. Its description in RNAcentral is "Aequorivita sp. q18 partial 23S ribosomal RNA". It matches the Rfam family "Bacterial large subunit ribosomal RNA", at positions 2804 to 2925 of the family's 2925-position model. Lineage: Bacteria; Pseudomonadati; Bacteroidota; Flavobacteriia; Flavobacteriales; Flavobacteriaceae. The record is from RNAcentral.